This 449-nucleotide ribosomal RNA is filed under the name uncultured bacterium. RNAcentral describes it as "partial 16S ribosomal RNA". It matches the Rfam family "Bacterial small subunit ribosomal RNA", at positions 29 to 523 of the family's 1533-position model. The record is from RNAcentral.
AACGAACGCUGGCGGCAGGCCUAACACAUGCAAGUCGAACGAUGUAGCAAUACAUAGUGGCGCACGGGUGCGUAACGCGUGGGAAUAUACCCUUAGGUGCGGAAUAAUGUCUGGAAACGGACACUAAUACCGCAUAAUGACUCCGGUCCAAAGAUUUAUCGCCUAGGGAUUAGCCCGCGUCUGAUUAGUUAGUUGGUAGGGUAAUGGCCUACCAAGACGAUGAUCAGUAGCUGGUCUGAGAGGAUGAUCAGCCACACUGGAACUGAGACACGGUCCAGACUCCUACGGGAGGCAGCAGUGAGGAAUAUUGGACAAUGGGCGCAAGCCUGAUCCAGCCAUGCCGCGUGAGUGAAGAAGGCCUUAGGGUUGUAAAGCUCUUUUAAUAGUGACGAUAAUGACGGUAGCUAUAGAAAAAGCCCCGGCUAAAUUCGUGCCAGCAGCCGCGGUAA